RNAcentral lists this ribosomal RNA (550 nucleotides) under uncultured bacterium. Its description in RNAcentral is "bacterial SSU rRNA". It matches the Rfam family "Bacterial small subunit ribosomal RNA", at positions 355 to 896 of the family's 1533-position model. The record is from RNAcentral.
UAGGGAAUCUUCGGCAAUGGGGGCAACCCUGACCGAGCAACGCCGCGUGAGUGAAGAAGGUUUUCGGAUCGUAAAGCUCUGUUGUAAGAGAAGAACGAGUGUGAGAGUGGAAAGUUCACACUGUGACGGUAACUUACCAGAAAGGGACGGCUAACUACGUGCCAGCAGCCGCGGUAAUACGUAGGUCCCGAGCGUUAUCCGGAUUUAUUGGGCGUAAAGCGAGCGCAGGCGGUUAGAUAAGUCUGAAGUUAAAGGCUGUAGCUUAACCAUAGUACGCUUUGGAAACUGUUUAACUUGAGUGCAGAAGGGGAGAGUGGAAUUCCAUGUGUAGCGGUGAAAUGCGUAGAUAUAUGGAGGAACACCGGUGGCGAAAGCGGCUCUCUGGUCUGUAACUGACGCUGAGGCUCGAAAGCGUGGGGAGCAAACAGGAUUAGAUACCCUGGUAGUCCACGCCGUAAACGAUGAGUGCUAGGUGUUGGGUCCUUUCCGGGACUCAGUGCCGCAGCUAACGCAUUAAGCACUCCGCCUGGGGAGUACGACCGCAAGGUUG